This 253-nucleotide ribosomal RNA is filed under the name uncultured bacterium. RNAcentral's name for it is "partial 16S ribosomal RNA". It matches the Rfam family "Bacterial small subunit ribosomal RNA", at positions 524 to 776 of the family's 1533-position model. The record is from RNAcentral.
GACGAACCACACAAACGUUAUUCGGAAUUACUGGGCUUAAAGGGUGCGUAGGCGGUUUGUCGCGUCUGCUGUGAAAACUCAGGGCUUAACCCUGAGCCUGCAGUGGGUACGGGCAGACUAGAGUGUGGUAGGGGAGAUCGGAAUUCCCGGUGUAGAGGUGAAAUUCGUAGAUAUCGGGAGGAACACCAGUGGCGAAGGCGGCGACCUGGGCCAAUACUGACGCUGAGGUGCGAAAGCGUGGGGAGCAAACAAG